Molecule: ribosomal RNA, 492 nt
Filed under: uncultured bacterium
Lineage: Bacteria
Description: partial 16S ribosomal RNA
Rfam family: Bacterial small subunit ribosomal RNA
Source: RNAcentral
AGUGAACGCUGGCGGUAGGCCUAACACAUGCAAGUCGAACGGCAGCACAGUAAGAGCUUGCUCUUACGGGUGGCGAGUGGCGGACGGGUGAGGAAUACAUCGGAAUCUACUUUUUCGUGGGGGAUAACGUAGGGAAACUUACGCUAAUACCGCAUACGACCUACGGGUGAAAGCAGGGGAUCUUCGGACCUUGCGCGAUUGAAUGAGCCGAUGUCGGAUUAGCUAGUUGGCGGGGUAAAGGCCCACCAAGGCGACGAUCCGUAGCUGGUCUGAGAGGAUGAUCAGCCACACUGGAACUGAGACACGGUCCAGACUCCUACGGGAGGCAGCAGUGGGGAAUAUUGGACAAUGGGCGCAAGCCUGGUCCAGCCAUACCGCGUGGGUGAAGAAGGCCUUCGGGUUGGAGAGCCCUUUUGUUGGGAAAGAAAAGCAGCAGGUUAAUACCCCGCUGUUCUGACGGUACCCAAAGAAUAAGCACCGGCUAACUUCGUG